CUAAAGAAAGAGGCACAGAGGUCUUAGGUGGGGACCUUUCUAGCCUGGGAAGCUGGAUACCGACCCCGCCUAUUUUCGCGGUGGAAACGCAGGGCAGAGAUGUGGCUCUCUCCGGCAGGAGUCUGGCUGAGUCUCAGCAAAUUGAACUAGACACAGAGACGGUCCUCGGAAACCUUCCACUGGGCUCUACUCUUUACAAGUCAUUUGCUCAGUUUGAACAUCUCUUGACUUUCAUUCUAAGGCAUAAAUUCCUCUAUGGCAUUUCCACAUUAGGAUGAUUAUGUAACCUCUCAGCUAAAGCUGUAUCAACAUACCCUUUCUUAGGUGGCAUCCUUGGCUUAUACAUUCCAUUGUGUGACUCACCUGGGAGUUCUACACUAAUAAGCAGGGAGCAUGUGUGACUUUCUGCACUCCCAGAGGGGCCCUCCGCGGCUCUCUUCCAGCCGCUGUUACUGGCUGGAACAUCACUGCAGCUUUUGUGUUUUAGCUUCCCUUUUAUGGACUGGAGCUAAUCAUGGUAAUCUCAAUCUCGCAGGGAGAAUUACCUGCACACGCCUGUAAACCACAGUCAUAUCUCUUGUGGAAGUGAUUUUUCUCAAUUAGCAGCUCAAGUACAGCACAGUUGCGGCUCAUAUUGUUGCUCUUGCUUACCAGUCGUAGCUCAAAAUCACAAUUAUUCUAGAAUAUUAAACAGUUAUAGGAAAGUAUUGACAAUUUGAAAGCAUACUUUGAUGUGUAACUCAAUUUCUGAGUUUGGUAGAGGGGAAAAAAAGCCCUAAAGUAGUUCUUUGACAAUAGCUAGAAGUGACGCAGUCCGUCAUGGUGACUGAAGAUCUGCUGUCCUGGGUUCAGAGUCUGGUUUUAUUCUGGGUGAUCUUAAAAUAGUCACUAAACUUUGUGCCUCAGUUUCUUCAUCAGAGAUGUUGACAAUUACAUGACAAUGCCUAGUUUGGGUUAUUGUGAAGAAUAAGUAUGUUGGUUUCUGUGCCCUCCUUGGAAUAGUUCUGGCACAUAGUGAGCAUUUAUUCUACCAAAGUACUUAGUGCCUGUCGUCUACCAGUGACUGGGAAAACUAGGAGGGCCUUUUUGUUGUUGGUUAAUUUUAUACGUGGUGAGCAAAGAGAAAGGCUAAAAGAAAUUGUAGCUAAGGGCUGAGCAGGGUUGAACUACCUCUUACAGGGAAAAGCAGGGAUGUCUGGCUCCUUCUCCUGAGAGAUGGGAAGGCAGUGGAAGCUGCUGAGUAAAGGAAGAACAGUUUGCCUUCUGCUGUAGAUGGAUCCCUAUGGCUGCUUUGUGGAGCGCUUUGGGGAGAGGAUGAAGGAAGGAAGGAAAACAGGAUUUAGGAAAACCUUGUGCGGGUCCAAGCAAGAGGAACUAAUGGUUUCCACAGGUGGAAGUGGUACAGAUGUGAGAAGCCAUGGCCCCUGGAUGCUUCCUAGUUAUUAUCACUGUCACGCUCUCACGGUUUAUAUCCCUUCUAGGUCUGUUUCCUCACUGGGAAAAUAAAGGGGCUGGGCUCAUUCAUCAUUCCCUCUUAGCUUUUAGAAUAUUCUCUGGUUUGUGGAGAGCUGUAUAAAUACCAACCAAAUUUAAAAGGGGCUGAUGGUAGGUGCUUUUGAGUGAAAUAAUCUCGAGUUGAAUCUUGUGGUAAGUGGUUUUGUAGGGUGAAGAACAGCCCUUUGAUUUGUUUCAUGAAUGGAAUUUAAGGUUUUGGAUUGCUGAAGAUGAGUUUCUUACAUUUUAGGGAUGGAAAGAAUAGCAAGGUAUUAAACCUGCCCUGAAUACUUUGUCAAGGAGAAUUAUCUUUUAUUCAAAAAAUUCUUUAUUCCUUCGUAGUCUACAGAAUGGUUAAUUUUAUACAUGGUGAGCAAAGAGAAAGGCUAAAAGAAAUUGUAACUAAGAGCUGAGCAGGGUUGAACUACCUCUUACAGGGAAAAGCCAUUAGCAAAUUAAUGAACUGUAGAGCUCAAAAAAUCUUUUUCAGAGUUGUAGAGUGAAGGACACACAAACUUUGCACUAUGCUUUGAUUACAGAAAUUGCUAUCUAAAAAUCAUUAACUAAGAUUGUGGCCCAUUUAAAAAAUACAACUGAACUCUCAGAAUGAACUGCAGUACUACUAGAAGCUACUCAAAAGGCUGUAAAAGGGAGGAGGCAGUCAAAGACAAUCAGCAGUGAGAAAAGUAGAAAUAGGACUUUGAAGAUAGACUUUGCUAAAGGAUCUUUCCAGAUAAAAACAAUGCGUUACUUCCCUUUUUUCUUAUCAUUUUAUAGUUUUAUUCAAAUGUAUACAUGUAGAAUUUCUGAGAUUGGGAGUGGAAUAAAGCACUGAUGGUGAUUCAACAGCCAUUUGAUCAGUAUGGCUAUGAGCAGAGGUGGUAUGAACCAAGAAGAGAGAUUUGCAAUGAUUCCACCAGGAACCUCUGAUGUGAAGGAUGACCUGCCAGGGUCCCUGGGAGUAGCUGCCUGCUCAAAAACUCCUUUCAUAGUAAAAGAUCUGUGUGCCUUUUAUGUUCUGUUCUACAAUAUUGCUGUGCUUAUUUUGAUAAAUAUAAGGUGAUAUAAACAUAGAUGUAUUUGAAAUAAAUAUAACAUGCUCCAGACUUGUACAUUUAGUAAAACAUCCCAAAGUUUACUGUGUUUAUUACCCUAUGGCACUGACUGCGUUCCCACCCUGAGGCUGAAGGGUGGUCAUCACCCACUUUGCAGAAUAAGACCCUGCAGUGUUCUGGGCCCAUCCAGGCUUUCAUUUCUCCACAGCUGCUUUUGUUGGGCCAGUCUCUGUGCUCAUGAUCAAUAUUCAUGCAGGCAGCAAAAUACACCAACUCAGCAUUCUUUUGUUUGCCUAGUUAGGUAGGAGGGCAAACAUUUAUCAAGCUAUUUUUCAAUAUUUCAAAAUACAAUUACAGUUUUUAAUUAUUUUAGGAACUGUAGUUGUGGUCAGAUAAUUAUUUUGGAGGCAUACACACAAAUUCCUGUUGUAUCUAAGUAAUUAGGGGACAGCCAUAAAACUUGGCAGUCAAUGCUAGUUCCCGACAUUUCAUUACUUUUGGUUUAUUUAUGAGGAAAGUAGAAUCAGCCUCUUGUGUGUGUUUUAAUUUCUUAGCAGAGGCAGGAUUGAUUUCACAAAACCUCCAGUUUAAGAAGACGAUCAUGAGCCCAUUCAGGAGGAGCUCAGGGCUUCAAAGGUGUCUGUCGCUCUGUGCCCUGGGAAUGUUGCAGUGGGCUUUUUAGCAUGCCUAAGAAGUCAAGGCUGGAGCGCAGCCCCUUCCUGACAGAGCUCCCUCCUGUGAAAGUCUUGUAGUUUCAUGGAAACUUGCCUGGCUUGCCUGGGUGGAAGGAGACCAAGAUUCCGAUUCAGCCGUGAUUUGGAGGCUCCGACCCUUUGGGAGGAAAACAGAGGCAAGCUGCCAGUUCAGCCAAAGAAGCAUAGAGGGAAGCCAUUCUUUCCUUCCCUAUAUUCAUAUUAUACAAGAUGCCUCCUCUGAACACUCUCUUCCAUCUGAUGAUAUUCUGAAUGGAUCUAACAGUUUCCCUGCCAACAUAGCAACACAGCCCAGAAAAAAAUGAAAAUGAAAUGCUUCGCAUUUGGGGACUGCUUCCAACCCAUUCCCAAUCAGGAGGCUGAAGCGUCUGGAAUGGAAGGCUGCAGGGGCUGUGCUGGAGGCGAAGAGUCUGGGCUGGAAGCCAGGAGACCACGUCCAAGGCAAAGACUGAAGCUCCUUGGGAGGAACAGAAGCGACCCUUCUUCAUUUCCCCUUUGUAGCAUUCAGGUGACAGGCUGCCCUAGGGUGUGUCUUUUAUCUUCAGUAAAUGCUCUGAGCCAUGCUCAGAACUAUGCUGAUAGAAUUUAGUUGGGUGUUUCUUACUCAGAUUGGCACAGUUAACUAUUACACUCAGAGAAAGUCAAUCAAUGUCUGUGGGGUUUUUAUUUUAUUUGUUUAUUUUUGUUCUGGUGAUUGAACCCAGGGGUACCCUGCCAUGAAACUACAUCCGAAUCCUUUAUCUAUUUAUUUAUUUUUUGUUAUUUUUUAUUUUGAAACAGAUAAGGUACCUAGGCUUGUUAAGGUACCUAGGCUGGCCCUCCACCCUGCAAUCUCCUUUCAGCCUCCUGUGCAACCCCAGCUUGUCUGUGCUUAUUUUUGAGCCCAUCGAUUUAAUGCCAAGGAAAAGUCCAUCAUGAGGAAGAAAGGAACUUCCUGAUGCAUUUUUUUUUUCUUUGAGAUGCUUGGAGCAGAGGUGCAAGUAUUAAAUUUCUACUCUUUGAUGCUUU
Molecule: long non-coding RNA, 4270 nt
Organism: Chinchilla lanigera (long-tailed chinchilla)
Lineage: Eukaryota; Metazoa; Chordata; Mammalia; Rodentia; Chinchillidae
Exons: 4
Source: RefSeq, a predicted model, not a curated record